Molecule: ribosomal RNA, 253 nt
Filed under: uncultured bacterium
Lineage: Bacteria
Description: partial 16S ribosomal RNA
Rfam family: Bacterial small subunit ribosomal RNA
Source: RNAcentral
UACAGAGGUCUCAAGCGUUGUUCGGAUUCAUUGGGCGUAAAGGGUGCGUAGGUGGCGGGGUAAGUCAGGUGUGAAAUCUCGGGGCUCAACCCCGAAACUGCACUUGAUACUGCCUUGCUCGAGUACUGGAGAGGAGAUUGGAAUUUACGGUGUAGCAGUGAAAUGCGUAGAUAUCGUAAGGAAGACCAGUGGCGAAGGCGAAUCUCUGGACAGUUACUGACGCUGAUGCACGAAGGCCAGGGGAGCAAACGGG